GUCAUGUCUUGGGGACAAUUCCUACCAUUAAAUGUCAGGCUUCCCAGACNGUAGAGGGAGGCAGAGUUGUGGCUGGUGAUGCCCAGAGGGAAAAUGAGAGACACAAUAGUGCCAGGAGGAACAGCCAAAAACACCUAGAUGGUUGCCAGUGCUUCCUUCCCUCUUCGUUCUUUCUGGAGAAGAGCCAUGGCUUCGUGGCAAAGCCUCUGCUUUGUGUUCAGAAGAUCCCAGCUUCAAUUCCUGGCACAGGUUUUCACAGAUCCCCUGUCUGAACUUCUGGAGAGCUUUGGUGUCUUGGUGAACCAGGUAUUAAGGAAAGUAUGCAGUGAACUUUCCAGCGAAGUCCAUUUGUUCCUUUU
RNAcentral lists this long non-coding RNA (359 nucleotides) under Salvator merianae (Argentine black and white tegu). RNAcentral's name for it is "lncRNA (ENSSMRG00000010373.1)". Lineage: Eukaryota; Metazoa; Chordata; Lepidosauria; Squamata; Teiidae. The record is from RNAcentral.